AUUGAACGCUGGCGGCAUGCCUUACACAUGCAAGUCGAACGGCAGCACGGGAGCAAUCCUGGUGGCGAGUGGCGAACGGGUGAGUAAUAUAUCGGAACGUGCCCAGUCGUGGGGGAUAACGUAGCGAAAGCUACGCUAAUACCGCAUACGAUCUAUGGAUGAAAGCGGGGGAUCGCAAGACCUCGCGCGAUUGGAGCGGCCGAUAUCAGAUUAGGUAGUUGGUGAGGUAAAGGCUCACCAGGCCGACGAUCUGUAGCUGGUCUGAGAGGACGACCAGCCACACUGGGACUGAGACACGGCCCAGACUCCUACGGGAGGCAGCAGUGGGGAAUUUUUGGACAAUGGGCGCAAGCCUGAUCCAGCAAUGCCGCGUGCAGGAUGAAGGCC
RNAcentral lists this ribosomal RNA (387 nucleotides) under uncultured bacterium. RNAcentral describes it as "bacterial SSU rRNA". It matches the Rfam family "Bacterial small subunit ribosomal RNA", at positions 30 to 416 of the family's 1533-position model. The record is from RNAcentral.